AGAGUUUGAUCAUGGCUCAGAGCGAACGCUGGCGGCAGGCUUAACACAUGCAAGUCGAGCGGGCGUAGCAAUACGUCAGCGGCAGACGGGUGAGUAACGCGUGGGAACGUACCUUUUGGUUCGGAACAACACAGGGAAACUUGUGCUAAUACCGGAUAAGCCCUUACGGGGAAAGAUUUAUCGCCGAAAGAUCGGCCCGCGUCUGAUUAGCUAGUUGGUGAGGUAAUGGCUCACCAAGGCGACGAUCAGUAGCUGGUCUGAGAGGAUGAUCAGCCACAUUGGGACUGAGACACGGCCCAAACUCCUACGGGAGGCAGCAGUGGGGAAUAUUGGACAAUGGGCGCAAGCCUGAUCCAGCCAUGCCGCGUGAGUGAUGAAGGCCCUAGGGUUGUAAAGCUCUUUUGUGCGGGAAGAUAAUGACGGUACCGCAAGAAUAAGCCCCGGCUAACUUCGUGCCAGCAGCCGCGGUAAUACGAAGGGGGCUAGCGUUGCUCGGAAUCACUGGGCGUAAAGGGUGCGUAGGCGGGUCUUUAAGUCAGGGGUGAAAUCCUGGAGCUCAACUCCAGAACUGCCUUUGAUACUGAGGAUCUUGAGUUCGGGAGAGGUGAGUGGAACUGCGAGUGUAGAGGUGAAAUUCGUAGAUAUUCGCAAGAACACCAGUGGCGAAGGCGGCUCACUGGUCCGAUACUGACGCUGAGGCACGAAAGCGUGGGGAGCAAACAGGAUUAGAUACCCUAGUAGUCC
This 744-nucleotide ribosomal RNA is filed under the name uncultured bacterium. RNAcentral's name for it is "bacterial SSU rRNA". It matches the Rfam family "Bacterial small subunit ribosomal RNA", at positions 8 to 796 of the family's 1533-position model. The record is from RNAcentral.